This 1299-nucleotide long non-coding RNA is filed under the name Capra hircus (goat). RNAcentral's name for it is "lncRNA (ENSCHIG00010020087.1)". Lineage: Eukaryota; Metazoa; Chordata; Mammalia; Artiodactyla; Bovidae. The record is from RNAcentral.
GUGUAGACAUCAUUAUUAUUCCUACUUCACAGAUGAGCUAAUUGAAGCUAAGAGAGUGAAUGGUAUACACCCUUGGAAAGGGGGAAGCUCAGAUCCAGUCAAUGCAUGUCUUCACCUAAAAGCAGUUCUAACAUAAUUAGUCUAUAACUGAUCCUUGUCUUAACAAAGAAAUGUCUGAAAGGCAAAAGAAUAAAAUGUUUGGCUUCCCCUUAGUUCUGUGAACACUGGUGGGUUUUGUUUUGUUUUUGGCUUUUCUUUAAAAAAAAAAGACUACUUUUUUAGAGCGGUUUUAGGUUCAUGGCGAAAUUAAGAGGAAGGCACAGAUCUCCCAUAUACACUGGUAGGUUCUUCUUGUCAAGGAUUUGGCUCCAAGGUUCAUUAUAGGGAAGAGGAUAUUCCUAUUGCACUUGGACUUUUUAAAAUUGAAGUAUAGUUCUUAGUAAUUUAAGGGCUUCCAGCGUGGCUCAUUGGUAGAGAAUCCACCUGGCAAGUGAAAGACUUGGGCUCGAUCCCUGGAUCGAGAAGAUCUCUUGGAGAUGGAAAUGGCAACCUACUCCAGUAUUCUUACCUGCUCCAGUAUUCCUCCCGUGGACAGAGGAGCCUGGAGGGCUAUAAUCCAUGGGGUCACAAAGAGCUGGACAUGACUUAGCAACUAAGAAACAGUAAUAGUUAAUUUAUAAUAUUAUGUUAGUUUCAAAUGAACAGCAUAGUGAUUCAGUGUUUAUAUAUAUUGUACUACAUUAGAAGUUAUUACAAGAUAAUGGCUAUAAUUCCCUGUGCUGUGCAGCAUAUCCUUGUUGCUUGUUUAUUUUAUGCAUAGUAGUUUGUGUCUCUUAAUCCUAUACCCCUAAUUGGCCCUGCGUCUUCCCUCUACCCUUUGGUAACCGCUAGUUUGCUUUCUCUGUCUUGAACUUGGACUUCAGCUCAAAGACUUCAUUGCUUUUUCACCCCUAGUAUAUGGAAAGAUUUACCUGUCCCAUUCCUGGGUCCUGCACACCUGGCCUUGAACAGAGAAGCCUGGUAGGCUACAGUCUGUGGGGUCGCAAAGAGUCAGACACAACUGAGCAACUUCAGCUGGUGAGGGGACAUUUCAGAGUCCUCUCUGGGCUGCUUGCCUGCCUUCCCCAUCUGUCCCUCUCUUGGGGUGACUUUCUCUACCUCUGUUGGCUUCCAGCUUCUCUACAUUCAGACUCUGGGCCAUAUUCUCUAUUCAGAUUUCUUAGCGUCUUUAUCUGUAAGGUUUUUCCUCAGUCGUUAUCCUGGAUAGAAGUCAUUUUUCUUAGAUCUUCAAAAGGAUAA